Siniperca chuatsi (mandarin fish) is the source of this 1111-nucleotide long non-coding RNA. RefSeq lists it as uncharacterized. NCBI's taxonomy places the organism in Eukaryota, Metazoa, Chordata, Actinopteri, Centrarchiformes, Sinipercidae. The transcript is spliced from 3 exons. The record is from RefSeq and is a predicted model, not a curated record.
AGACUGCUUUUACAAACAUCUGUGAAAGAAUGGGUCGCUCUCGGGUUCAGUGAAUUCAAACGUGGUACCGUGAUAUGUUGCCACCUGUGCAAUAAGUCAUUUGUGAAAUUUCCUCACUACUAAAUAUUCCACAGUCAACUGUUAGUGGUAUUAUAACGAAGUGGAAGCAGUUGGGAACAACAGCAACUCAGCCACGAAGUGGUAGGCCACGUAAAAUCACAGAGCGGAGUCAGCGCAUGCUGAGGCGCACAAUGCGCAGAAGUCGCCAACUUUCUGCAGAGUCAAUAGCUACAGACCUCCAAACUUCGUGUGGCCUUCAGAUUAGCUCAAGAACAGUGCGUAGAGAGCUUCAUGGAGAGCUUUCCAUGGCCGAGCAGCUUCAUCCAAGUCUCACAUCACGAAGUGCAAUGCAAAGUGUCGGAUGCAGUGGUGUUAAGCACUCCACCACUGGACUCUAGAGCAGUGGAGACACUUCUCUGUCUGGCAAUCCGAUGGACGAGUCUGGGUUUGGCGGUUGCCAGGAGAACGAUGUGUAGAUGGCUGUGGAAGCUGAAGCAAUUCCCCUGGUCUUCUGCAUCCAGCAGAGGAAACCUCCCCCACAAGACAGCAACAGCGUGGAAGCCUGAGACUCUACAUUUCCAUUACAACAGAAAAGAUAUGUUUAUUCCGGACCAGAUGAGAAGGAUGCAUGACUAUAGGACCAGCUGGAGAGCGGUGGCCACCUUUCUUUCAGUCAGCUAAGGCAGGACUCUGUGAUUUUGGCGUUCCUGGGACAGCUGAAAGUGGACGUCAACCAGCCAAUCAUCUACACUCAGACAUUCAAGAAAGAGACACAGUUCAGGCUGAAUGAGGGGGAAAAAAUUAAUUCUAAAAGGUUAUAAGUAUUUAGUUUGUCACAUUCAAUACAGUCUGUUACUGUAUACUGUAUGUACAGUAUGCACACCCUUUAUAUCCUGAAUGGCCAGUGCAAUAAAUAUAAGACAAACAUUUCUAAAUAUUUCUUCAUAUUAUCCACCAAUAUUAUAAUCUUUCAUGUAUUAGUCAGAAAUCUGACAAUGUAUGUCUGAAAUAAAAUUAAAUAAAAUUAUGAUUUAGUGUGUUUUCAUUUUCA